UACGGAGGGGGCAAGCGUUAUUCGGAAUUAUUGGGCGUAAAGGGCGCGUAGGCGGCCUGUUAAGUCAAACGUGAAAUCCCCGGGCUCAACCCGGGAACUGCGUCCGAUACUGGCAGGCUUGAAUCCGGGAGAGGGAUGCGGAAUUCCAGGUGUAGCGGUGAAAUGCGUAGAUAUCUGGAGGAACACCGGUGGCGAAGGCGGCAUCCUGGACCGGCAUUGACGCUGAGGCGCGAAAGCCAGGGGAGCAAACGGG
Molecule: ribosomal RNA, 253 nt
Filed under: uncultured bacterium
Lineage: Bacteria
Description: partial 16S ribosomal RNA
Rfam family: Bacterial small subunit ribosomal RNA
Source: RNAcentral